CUGUUCCUGUCACGUGGCCCCUGACAGCCCUCUCACACGGGGCAGGUUGCUUUGUCAAGGCCAGCAGGAGAGUCUCUGAUUCUAGACCCUCUUUCAAAUGGCUCGCCUGAUUAGGUCAGGCCCCCAGGCACAAUGUCCCUUUGCAUUAACUCAAAGUCAGCUGAUGAGGGAGGGACCUUUGCUACAUCUGCAAACCCCCUUCACCUUUGCCAUCACACAGCCUCAUCUCGGGAGUGACGUCUGUCAGAUCUACAUCCCUGGGCACACGCAAGGGGAGGGGAUUAUAUCCGGUGCAGACACUAGGAGCCGAGAGUCUUGGGAACCACCUAGAAUCCUGCUUACACCAAUGUCUGAACCAAAGUGCACACACGGAAGCCACGCCCACCCAGGUGAGGGGCUGGACCAGAUGGCCCCAGACCCCCCUUUCACCUCUGGCCUCUACAUUAAGACCUCACCACAAAGCUCCACUGUGAGAGAGCCCCGGGCACUCACGUUCCAGUUGGAGGCGUGUUCCCACGGGGACAUGUGGAGUCAGGCCGAGGCUCCCACCAAUGCUCUGCAGGAGGAUGGAGCCUUAGAGCACGCCGCCCUGCUGCACAGACCCACAGGAGCCUGGGACUGUGCAUACCGGGCUCAUCAUUGCCGGAAAUCAGUGGAAAUAAAAUGUAAGCGAUUUA
Manis javanica (Malayan pangolin) is the source of this 677-nucleotide long non-coding RNA. RefSeq lists it as uncharacterized. Lineage: Eukaryota; Metazoa; Chordata; Mammalia; Pholidota; Manidae. The record is from RefSeq and is a predicted model, not a curated record.